AUGCCUUGAACUCAUGGCUAAGCAAAAUAAUGAUUUAGGGUGAUGCCUGAGUCCUCAUUGUCGUUGUGAGUGCAUAAAGGGUGCCCUUCCUGCUUAGGUAGGUCCCU
Cricetulus griseus (Chinese hamster) is the source of this 107-nucleotide small nuclear RNA. Its record names the gene U12. It matches the Rfam family "U12 minor spliceosomal RNA". From Rfam's summary of the family: Although the U12 sequence is very divergent from that of U2, the two are functionally analogous. NCBI's taxonomy places the organism in Eukaryota, Metazoa, Chordata, Mammalia, Rodentia, Cricetidae. The record is from Ensembl.